This 27-nucleotide non-coding RNA is filed under the name Cricetulus griseus (Chinese hamster). Lineage: Eukaryota; Metazoa; Chordata; Mammalia; Rodentia; Cricetidae. The record is from RNAcentral.
CCAAAAAAUACUUUAAAAGACCUCAGA